UGCGAACGGGCAUCGUUUGGCCUCGCGAUUCGUGAUUAUUCUUUGCCAUUUUCACAUUUUGGCUUCGAAAACAUCUUGAUUUGGCUGUCUUGUAUUCGCCAUUCUACUUGCGAUAUUAUUCUGGAGUUAUCUAUCAACAUGGGAACUUAAUAUCCUCAUCUGGUAAGUAGUCAAAUACCACAUAUUUUAUUAUCUACCGCUAUA
This is a non-coding RNA of Paramuricea clavata, 204 nucleotides long. The record is from the annotation of a GenBank genome assembly. Lineage: Eukaryota; Metazoa; Cnidaria; Anthozoa; Malacalcyonacea; Plexauridae.